AGAGUUUGAUCCUGGCUCAGAGUGAACGCUGGCGGCAGGCCUAACACAUGCAAGUCGAACGGCAGCACAGCAGUAGCAAUACUGUGGGUGGCGAGUGGCGGACGGGUGAGGAAUGCGUCGGAAUCUGCCUAUUUGUGGGGGAUAACGUAGGGAAACUUACGCUAAUACCGCAUACGACCUACGGGUGAAAGUGGGGGACCUUCGGGCCUCACGCAGAUAGAUGAGCCGACGCCGGAUUAGCUAGUUGGCGGGGUAAAGGCCCACCAAGGCGACGAUCCGUAGCUGGUCUGAGAGGAUGAUCAGCCACACUGGGACUGAGACACGGCCCAGACUCCUACGGGAGGCAGCAGUGGGGAAUAUUGGACAAUGGGCGCAAGCCUGAUCCAGCCAUGCCGCGUGUGUGAAGAAGGCCUUCGGGUUGUAAAGCACUUUUGUCCGGAAAGAAAAGCUUCGGGUUAAUAACCUGGAGUCAUGACGGUACCGG
Molecule: ribosomal RNA, 484 nt
Filed under: uncultured bacterium
Lineage: Bacteria
Description: bacterial SSU rRNA
Rfam family: Bacterial small subunit ribosomal RNA
Source: RNAcentral